GACGAACGCUGGCGGCGUGCCUAAUACAUGCAAGUCGAACGAGAGCGACCGGUGCUUGCCCUCGUCAAUCUAGUGGCGAACGGGUGAGUCACUCGUGGUUAACCUGCCCAUCAGAAGGGGAUAACAUCCGGAAACGGUUGCUACAACCGCAUAGGUCUUCGACCCGCAUGGUUUGCAGAGGAAAAUAGCCGCAUGCUUCUGCUGAUGGCUGGACCCGCGGUGCAUUAGCUAGUUGGUGAGGUAACGGCUCACCACGGCCGUGAUGCAUAGCCGACCUGAGAGGGAGGACGGCCACAUGGGGACUGAGACACGGCCCAAACUCCGACGGGAGGAAGCAGUAGGGAAUCUUCCGCAAUGGACGAAAGUCGGACGGAGCAACGCCGCGUGAGUGAAGAAGGUGUUCGGAUCGUAAAACGCUGUAGUUAGAGAAGAACUAGUGCUAGAGUAACUGUGAGGGUCUUGACGGUAUCUAACCAGAAAGCCACGGCUAACUACGUG
Molecule: ribosomal RNA, 498 nt
Filed under: uncultured bacterium
Lineage: Bacteria
Description: partial 16S ribosomal RNA
Rfam family: Bacterial small subunit ribosomal RNA
Source: RNAcentral